UACGGAGGGUGCGAGCGUUGUCCGGAAUCAUUGGGCGUAAAGGGCGCGUAGGCGGCCUGGCAAGUGGAAGGUGAAAUCCCUCGGCUUAACCGAGGAACUGCCCUCCAAACUGCUUGGCUUGAGUCCGGGAGAGGUGAGUGGAAUUCCCAGUGUAGCGGUGAAAUGCGUAGAUAUUGGGAGGAACACCAGUGGCGAAGGCGGCUCACUGGACCGGAACUGACGCUGAGGCGCGAAAGCGUGGGGAGCAAACAGG
This 253-nucleotide ribosomal RNA is filed under the name uncultured bacterium. Its description in RNAcentral is "partial 16S ribosomal RNA". It matches the Rfam family "Bacterial small subunit ribosomal RNA", at positions 524 to 776 of the family's 1533-position model. The record is from RNAcentral.